AGCGAACGUUAGCGGCGCGCUUAACACAUGCAAGUCGCACGAGAAAGGGCUUCGGCCCCGGUAAAGUGGCGCACGGGUGCGUAACACGUAGGCAAUCUUCCCUUGAGCGGGGGAUAACGUUUCGAAAGAGACGCUAAUACCGCAUAAGACCACGACCGGUUCGCCGGUUGCGGUCAAAGCUGGCCUCUUCUUGAAAGCUAGCACUUAAGGACGAGCCUGCGGCCCAUCAUGCUAGUUGGAGUGUAAUGGACUACCAAGGCGAAGACGGGUAGCUGGUCUGAGAGGAUGAUCAGCCACACUGGAACUGAAACACGGUCCAGACUCCUACGGAGGCAGCAGUGGGGAAUAUUGGACAAUGGGCGAAAGCCUGAUCCAGCGACGCCGCGUGAGUGAUGAAGGCCUUC
RNAcentral lists this ribosomal RNA (404 nucleotides) under uncultured bacterium. Its description in RNAcentral is "bacterial SSU rRNA". It matches the Rfam family "Bacterial small subunit ribosomal RNA", at positions 29 to 419 of the family's 1533-position model. The record is from RNAcentral.